AAGUCGUAACAAGGUUUCCGUAGGUGAACCUGCGGAAGGAUCAUUAACACGUAUCCACGUACCAACCAAGCGAGACGUUUGUUUUCAACUCUCCCUACUGGCGGACGACUGGCACGAGCACUGACUGUUUGAGUGGGAGUUCGCAAGGACUCGCAAGCAGUGUUCGAUUAGUACUCGGCAACGAGUGCUGACAGUUUCUGACAGCUAGGCUCUUUCCUUCUAUGGAAGCUCCAUUCAAGCUUCCAUGGUUGGAGCACACUACUAACCAAUUUCACCCAUAUUUUGCUAGUUGACUUUUUAUCUGUGGAGCUUCGCAAGUAGUGACACACGUUUUCUAUUGAAACGUAAAAAUUACAACUCUUAGCAAUGGAUAUCUUGGUUCUC
This 384-nucleotide unclassified non-coding RNA is filed under the name fungal sp. RNAcentral describes it as "partial internal transcribed spacer region". The stretch from base 1 to 46 matches the Rfam family "Eukaryotic small subunit ribosomal RNA", at positions 1786 to 1831 of the family's 1831-position model. Lineage: Eukaryota; Fungi. The record is from RNAcentral.